UUAAUCUCUUUGAUCACAAAG
Non-coding RNA from Caenorhabditis elegans, 21 nucleotides. The record is from Ensembl. Lineage: Eukaryota; Metazoa; Nematoda; Chromadorea; Rhabditida; Rhabditidae.